ACCGGCGGCUCGAGUGGUGGCCACUAUUACUGGGCUUAAAGCGUUCGUAGCUGGCUUGUUAAGUCUCUGGGGAAAUCUUCCGGCUCAACCGGAAGGCGUCUCAGGGAUACUGGCAGGCUAGGGACCGGAAGAGGUGAGAGGUACUCCAGGGGCAGGGGUGAAACCCGGUAAUCCUGGGGGGACAACCGGUGGCGAAGGCGUCUACCCGGGAGGGCUCCGCCGUUGAGGAACGAAAGCUGGGGGAGCAAACCG
Molecule: ribosomal RNA, 252 nt
Filed under: uncultured prokaryote
Description: partial 16S rRNA
Rfam family: Archaeal small subunit ribosomal RNA
Source: RNAcentral